CCCACGGGGGGCAGCAGUGAGGAAUAUUGGUCAAUGGCCGGAAGGCUGAACCAGCCAUGCCGCGUGAAGGUCAGUGCCCUAUGGGCGUUAAACUUCUGUUGUGCGGGAGCAAUAAUGGUCACGUGUGGCCAGACGAGAGUACCGUACGAAUAAGCAUCGGCUAACUCCGUGCCAGCAGCCGCGGUAAUACGGGGGAUGCAAGCGUUAUCCGGAGUUAUAGGGUGUAAAGGGGGCGGAGGCGGUGAGGGAAGUCAGCGGUGAAAUGCCCCCGCGCACAGGGGUGAUGUGACAUUGAUACUGGCUUGCUGGAAUGCGGAUGCCGUGGGAGGAAUGUGUGGUGUAGCGGUGAAAUGCAUAGAUAUCACACAGAACACCGAUUGCGAAGGCAUCUCACGGAUCCGCGAUUGACGCUGAUGCACGAAAGCGUGGGUAUCGAACAGGAUUAGAUACCCCUGUAGUC
RNAcentral lists this ribosomal RNA (460 nucleotides) under uncultured bacterium. RNAcentral's name for it is "partial 16S ribosomal RNA". It matches the Rfam family "Bacterial small subunit ribosomal RNA", at positions 338 to 795 of the family's 1533-position model. The record is from RNAcentral.